AUUGAACGCUGGCGGCAUGCUUUACACAUGCAAGUCGAACGGUAACAGGCCGCAAGGUGCUGACGAGUGGCGAACGGGUGAGUAAUGCAUCGGAACGUGCCCCGUCGUGGGGGAUAACUACUCGAAAGAGUAGCUAAUACCGCAUACGAUCUAUGGGUGAAAGCGGGGGACCGUAAGGCCUCGCGCGAUUGGAGCGGCCGAUGUCAGAUUAGGUAGUUGGUGGGGUAAAGGCUCACCAAGCCAACGAUCUGUAGCUGGUCUGAGAGGACGACCAGCCACACUGGGACUGAGACACGGCCCAGACUCCUACGGGAGGCAGCAGUGGGGAAUUUUGGACAAUGGGCGCAAGCCUGAUCCAGCAAUGCCGCGUGCAGGAAGAAGGCCUUCGGGUUGUAAACUGCUUUUGUACGGAACGAAACGGCUCUGGUUAAUACCCGGGGCUAAUGACGGUACCGUAAGAAUAAGCACCGGCUAACUACGUG
Molecule: ribosomal RNA, 482 nt
Filed under: uncultured bacterium
Lineage: Bacteria
Description: partial 16S ribosomal RNA
Rfam family: Bacterial small subunit ribosomal RNA
Source: RNAcentral